This 253-nucleotide ribosomal RNA is filed under the name uncultured bacterium. Its description in RNAcentral is "partial 16S ribosomal RNA". It matches the Rfam family "Bacterial small subunit ribosomal RNA", at positions 524 to 776 of the family's 1533-position model. The record is from RNAcentral.
UACGUAGGGGGCAAGCGUUGUCCGGAAUCAUUGGGCGUAAAGCGCGUGUAGGCGGCUCGACAAGUCCGCUGUGAAAGUCCAGGGCUCAACCCUGGGGUGCCGGUGGAUACUGUCGAGCUUGAGUCCGGAAGAGGCGAGUGGAAUUCCUGGUGUAGCGGUGAAAUGCGCAGAUAUCAGGAGGAACACCAAUGGCGAAGGCAGCUCGCUGGGACGUGACUGACGCUGAUGCGCGAAAGCUAGGGGAGCAAACAGG